UACAGUAAACUAUAUGUAGUACAGUAGUGGAUUAGAUCAGACCAGGCUUGGUAGGCCAUGGGGACUCUGGCUGGCGAUAGCUAAUUGGUUCGGUCUUGAACAAUGUUUUGAACGAACCAAACAAAACGUUGCAUCGAGCAGAAUCGGGCCCGACUUCAUCUUAUCAACAACAUAGGUCAGAUGGUGGAUUCUUUAUUAUCAAAAAUUAAUUUUUUCAGUUUUAGGCAAAAAGAUAUAUACAAAUUACUUUUUGACGACGGGACCCAGAUUCAACAAGUUGCACAUCCAAGGGGCCAUAUGGAUUAAUUGCACUAUGAAUCAGAAUGAUGAAAAAGUUAUUAUGUUGUUUCUUCAUGUCUUUAUUUUAUUAAAAGGUUAGUUUACUUUCGUCAUCAACUUGAAUCUGACAGACAGGACGCGAUAUUUAAUUUUUUACUUUGAUCUAGAAUUAGAUGAAAAAUCUUAUGUAAAAGAUUGCAAUACAUUAUUAGUAGUCAUAAACUUAUAACUUUAAUAUAUAAACAUCUUGACUGCAAUACAUUAUUAGUAGUUAUAAACGUAUAAUUUUAAUAUAUAAACAUCUUGACUGCAAAACAUUAUUAUUAGUAGUUAUAAACUUAUAAGUUUGUUCAAAAAAAAAGAUUGCAAUACAUUAUUAGUAGUUAUAAGCUUAUAAUUUAAAUAUAUAAGCAUCUUGACUGGUAAGAAAUUUCUUAUAAAUAAACCAUAGGAAUUUGUAUUUUUGACCAAGGAUUCAUUGUAUAAUUAUUCAGGUCCUCUAGUCGCAAAGUUAUAGAGUCAUAGACACGAGUCUUGUGCAAUCAUACAUUUUUACUUGAUUAAAGUAUUAUGUAUACAAGUAAUUUCUAGAUCCAACAAACAUUUUUAUUGAUUUAGUUUAAUACAUAUAAACCUUAAUCAAAACCAAAAACAAAGCUUCUAUACAAGUUGCUUUAAACCUAACCAAAAUUUUCAAUCUUUUUUUUUUCUUUUCUUAUAAUUAUUUUCUUUUAAGGUACUAUUGAAUAAUGACCACCAUUUUUUAUGUUAAUGUACAUCUCUUCGAAUUAUUGUGCUCAUCCUAAAAUAUGAAUAUCCCAGCGGAGAAACUCUGCUCGCCGGCACAAGGAGAGCUUAAAACGUCGACGUUUCCGGAGACUUGCGAUUU
This 1168-nucleotide long non-coding RNA is filed under the name Brassica rapa (field mustard). RNAcentral's name for it is "long non-coding RNA (BRAP_LNC005412)". Lineage: Eukaryota; Viridiplantae; Streptophyta; Magnoliopsida; Brassicales; Brassicaceae. The record is from RNAcentral.